UGGGGAAUAUUGCACAAUGGGCGCAAGCCUGAUGCAGCCAUGCCGCGUGUGUGAAGAAGGCCUUCGGGUUGUAAAGCACUUUCAGCGGGGAGGAAGGCGAUAAGGUUAAUAACCUUGUCGAUUGACGUUACCCGCAGAAGAAGCACCGGCUAACUCCGUGCCAGCAGCCGCGGUAAUACGGAGGGUGCAAGCGUUAAUCGGAAUUACUGGGCGUAAAGCGCACGCAGGCGGUCUGUCAAGUCGGAUGUGAAAUCCCCGGGCUCAACCUGGGAACUGCAUUCGAAACUGGCAGGCUAGAGUCUUGUAGAGGCGGGUAGAAUUCCAGGUGUAGCGGUGAAAUGCGUAGAGAUCUGGAGGAAUACCGGUGGCGAAGGCGGCCCCCUGGACAAAGACUGACGCUCAGGUGCGAAAGCGUGGGGAGCAAACAGG
This 429-nucleotide ribosomal RNA is filed under the name Chloroflexota bacterium. RNAcentral describes it as "Chloroflexi bacterium partial 16S ribosomal RNA". It matches the Rfam family "Bacterial small subunit ribosomal RNA", at positions 355 to 776 of the family's 1533-position model. Lineage: Bacteria; Bacillati; Chloroflexota. The record is from RNAcentral.